AAUAAAAAGAGUAUAUUAGGUUUAACUUUCUAUAUUAUUUUUAUUAAAUUAAUAAUUCAAAACCUUUGAAUGUAAUUCUAGAUAAAAUAUUGAUAAUGACAAAGUUUUAUCUAUAUGUCUUGACCAAAUCUUGUGCCAGCAGUCGCGGCAACACAAGGAAGACAAGUGUUAUUCAUCUUAAAUCGGUUUAAAGGGUACCUAGACGGUAAAUUAGGCCUUAAUUGGUACGUUUUUACUAGAGUUAUACAUGCAUGAGGAAUAUGUGAGUAUUACCAGAGUAGAGAUGAAAUUUUUUGAUACUGUUAAGACUGGUAAAGGCAAAAGCAAACCUUUAUAUAUUAACUGACGUUGAGGGACGAAGGCUUGGGGAGCAAACAGGAUUAGAUACCCUAAUAGUCCAGGCAGAGAAUUA
RNAcentral lists this ribosomal RNA (412 nucleotides) under Trypethelium subeluteriae. RNAcentral describes it as "mitochondrial SSU rRNA". It matches the Rfam family "Bacterial small subunit ribosomal RNA", at positions 434 to 809 of the family's 1533-position model. The record is from RNAcentral. Lineage: Eukaryota; Fungi; Ascomycota; Dothideomycetes; Trypetheliales; Trypetheliaceae.